This 92-nucleotide ribosomal RNA is filed under the name Lactobacillus johnsonii. RNAcentral describes it as "partial 16S ribosomal RNA". It matches the Rfam family "Bacterial small subunit ribosomal RNA", at positions 1442 to 1533 of the family's 1533-position model. Lineage: Bacteria; Bacillati; Bacillota; Bacilli; Lactobacillales; Lactobacillaceae. The record is from RNAcentral.
AUAGGAGUCAGCCGUCUAAGGUAGGACAGAUGAUUAGGGUGAAGUCGUAACAAGGUAGCCGUAGGAGAACCUGCGGCUGGAUCACCUCCUUU